This 498-nucleotide ribosomal RNA is filed under the name uncultured bacterium. RNAcentral's name for it is "partial 16S ribosomal RNA". It matches the Rfam family "Bacterial small subunit ribosomal RNA", at positions 28 to 507 of the family's 1533-position model. The record is from RNAcentral.
GACGAACGCUGGCGGCGUGCCUAAUACAUGCAAGUCGAACGAGAGCGCCCGGUGCUUGCGCUGGUCAAUCUAAUGGCGAACGGGUGAGUAACACGUGGGUCACCUGCCCAUCAGAGGGGGAUAACAUUCGGAAACGGAUGCUAAAACCGCAUAGGCCUUCGAACCGCAUGGUUGGAAGAGUAAAAGAGGCGCAAGCUUCUGCUGAUGGUUGGACCCGCGGUGCAUUAGCUAGGUGGUGAGGUAACGGCUCACCAAGGCCGCGAUGCAUAGCCGACCGGGGAGGGUGAUCGGCCACAUUAGGACUGGGACACGGACCAAACUCCUGCGGGAGGCAGCAGUAGGGAAUCUGCCGCAAUGGACGCGAAUCUGACAGAGCAGGGCCGCGUGAGUGAAGAAGACUUUCGGAUCGUAAAACUCUGUUGUUGGAGAAGAACAAGUGCUAGAGUGACUGUUGGCGCCUUGACGGUAUCUAACCAGAAAGCCACGGCUAACUACGUG